GGCAGAGUAGCCAAGCGGUCUACGGCGCCAGGUUCAGGCCCACCUGAAUUUCGCAUUCAAUGCUUCCUGGUCUCAGAAAUGGGGCGUGGGUUCGAAUCCCACCUCUGUCA
RNAcentral lists this transfer RNA (110 nucleotides) under Cercophora newfieldiana. It matches the Rfam family "tRNA". Rfam says of the family: Transfer RNA (tRNA) molecules are approximately 80 nucleotides in length. Their secondary structure includes four short double-helical elements and three loops (D, anti-codon, and T loops). Lineage: Eukaryota; Fungi; Ascomycota; Sordariomycetes; Sordariales; Lasiosphaeriaceae. The record is from Rfam by way of RNAcentral.